This 612-nucleotide long non-coding RNA is filed under the name Mus pahari (shrew mouse). RNAcentral's name for it is "lncRNA (MGP_PahariEiJ_G0005328.1)". Lineage: Eukaryota; Metazoa; Chordata; Mammalia; Rodentia; Muridae. The record is from RNAcentral.
GGCCAUCCUGUGUGGGAACGGGGCAAGGGUGGGGCUCAAGUCCCAUCUUGUCUUAUGUAGGAGUCAGAAGUGCUUCAGAUGACUGUAGGCUGAGAGGUGCACCUUCUGUUUGCACACUUGGGAACCGUAUGACCCUUAGACUGUCUGGACAGCAAGACAAUUGAGAGCCCCUGUUUCUGCUGUCCAAUCUAUGGAAUCACAGGCAGGGGUGGCUUUUAUGUGGGUCCUGGGAUCCAAACCCAGCUUCUGCAGCACCUUAUGAAACCUCACUGUGAAUGUUCAACAGACUUCAGGACAGCGGCGCGAUGCCAUUAUGUCAAAGACUGGCCCACCGCUGCCAGCAGCUUUCAAAGGUUUUGGGGUCUGCAGAGUCCCUGAAGAAUUUUGGCUUGAAGCCCUCUUUCUCCUUCGUUUCUGAAUCCAAUGGUAGAUUAGGCGAAAUGGAACCCGUAUGGUUCUGAUUCAUUUACACUUAACUCAUCAAAAUGUUCCUUUUUAUGAGCUAUUUGAUGUCCAGAAAGCCUUUUGAGUAGAUUUUAUAAGCCUUUUAAAGACUUUUCUCUUAGAAACAGGCGGUUGCAUUUUGCCAAGAAUAAACAAACUUGAACCUCA